CGAACGGCAACCCCGAGUAUAGCAAUAUAUUUGGGGGGAUAGUGGCGAAAGGGCGAGCAACACGUGGGCAAUCUACCUCUAAGUUGGGGAUAACCCGCCGAAAGGCGGGCUAAUACCGAAUGUGGUGGUUCGUCGCAUGACGGAUUGACCAAAGGCGGGGACUUUAGGGCCUGCCGCUUGGAGAGGAGCCUGCGCCCCAUCAGCUAGUUGGUAGGGUAACGGCCUACCAAGGCUUACGGGUAGCUGGUCUGAGAGGAUGACCAGCCGCACUGGGACUGAGACACUGCCCAGACUCCUACGGGAGGCUGCAGUCGAGGAUCUUUUGCAAUGGGCGAAAGCCUGACAAAGCGACACUGCGUGGAGGACGAAGGCCUUCGGGUCGUAAACUCCUGUCAUUCGGGAAAAACGAGCACCCAGCUAAUACCUGGGUGAAGUGAUGGUACCGGAAGAGGAAGCCACGGCCAACUCUGUGCCAGCAGCCGCGGUAAUACAGAGGUGGCGAGCGUUGUUCGGAUUUACUGGGCGUAAAGGGUGCGUAGGUGGUGUGGUGUGUCGGGCGUGAAAUCCCAUGGCUCAACCAUGGAACGCCGUCCGAAACUGCCAUGCUAGAGUGCAGGAGGGGAGAGCGGAAUUCUCGGUGUAGCGGUGAAAUGUGUUGAUAUCGAGAGGAACACCGGUGGCGAAGGCGGCUCUCUGGAAUGCUACUGACACUGAGGCACGAAAGAUGGGGGAGCAAACAGGAUUAGAUACCCUGGUAGUCCCAUCCCUAAACGGUGUGAACUUGGUGUGGGGAGAAUUGACCCUCCCCGUACCGGAGCUAACGCGUUAAGUUCACCGCCUGGGAAGUACGGUCGCAAGAUUAAAACUCAAAGAAAUUGACGGGGGCCCGCACAAGCGGAGGAGCAUGUGGCUCAAUUCGAUCCACGCGAAGAACCUUACCAGGGCUUGACAUGCAGGUGCAUUUUUGCCGAAAGGCAGAAAGCCUUCGAGGGUCCUGCACAGGUGCUGCAUGGCUGUCGUCAGUUCGUGCCGUGAGGUGUUGGGUUAAGUCCCGCAACGAACGCAACCCUUGUGUUUAGUUGCUAAUCCCGAUGAUAAGUCGGGAAGCACUCUAAACAGGCUGCCCGUGUAAGCGGGAGGAAGGUGGGGAUGACGUCAAGUCAGUAUGGCCUUUAUGCCCUGGGCUGCACACGUGCUACAAUGGCAGGUACAGAAAGAAGCAAUACCGCGAGGUGGAGCAAAUCUCCAAAACCUACCCCAGUUCAGAUUGAAGGCUGCAACUCGCCUUCAUGAAGUUGGAUUCGCUAGUAACGGCGCAUCAGCUACGGCGCCGUGAAUACGUUCCCGGGCCUUGUACACACCGCCCGUCACAUCAUGAAAGCCGUCUGCACCCCAAGUCGCUGUACCAACCUGCAAAGGAGGAAGGCGCCUAAGGUGUGGGUGGUGAUUGGGAUGAAGUCGUAACAAGGUA
Molecule: ribosomal RNA, 1471 nt
Filed under: metagenome
Description: bacterial SSU rRNA
Rfam family: Bacterial small subunit ribosomal RNA
Source: RNAcentral